RNAcentral lists this ribosomal RNA (253 nucleotides) under uncultured Eubacteriales bacterium. RNAcentral's name for it is "uncultured Clostridiales bacterium partial 16S ribosomal RNA". It matches the Rfam family "Bacterial small subunit ribosomal RNA", at positions 524 to 776 of the family's 1533-position model. Lineage: Bacteria; Bacillati; Bacillota; Clostridia; Eubacteriales. The record is from RNAcentral.
UACGUAGGGGGCAAGCGUUAUCCGGAUUUACUGGGUGUAAAGGGAGCGUAGACGGCAAUACAAGUCGGAAGUGAAAUACCCGGGCUCAACCUGGGAACUGCUUUGGAAACUGGCAGGCUGGAGUGCCGGAGAGGCAGGCGGAAUUCCUAGUGUAGCGGUGAAAUGCGUAGAUAUAAGGAAGAACACCAGUGGCGAAGGCGGAUUACUGGACGAUAACUGACGGUGAGGCGCGAAAGCGUGGGGAGCAAACAGG